UUCAAAUAAGGUGAUCCCAGUUUUCCUGUUUGGGAAUAUGACAACUUCUUCGUCAUUCUAAUCAAAUCAGGAUGAAUCACGAUGUAAGAACCUUCAUUUGGAUACAUAAAGUAGUGGAGAAUCACCAGGAAGUUGAAUAAAUCUCAUAGGAGUUAUGAUGAAGAAGUUAUCCCACUUUCAAAUUAGGUGAUCCCAAUUUCCCUGUUUUAGAAUACGACAACUUCUUCGUCAUUCUAAUCAAACCAGGAUGAACCGUGAUAAAUAAAGCAGAGGAGAUUUGGAUACAUAAAGUAGAGGAGAAUCACCAGGAAGUUGAAUAAAUCUCAUAGGAGUUAGGAAGAAGAAGUUAUUCCACUUUCAAAUCAAGUGAACCCAGUUUUCCUGUUUGGGAAUAUGACAACUUCUUUGUCAUUCUA
RNAcentral lists this long non-coding RNA (416 nucleotides) under Brassica napus (rape). RNAcentral's name for it is "long non-coding RNA (BNAP_LNC018282)". Lineage: Eukaryota; Viridiplantae; Streptophyta; Magnoliopsida; Brassicales; Brassicaceae. The record is from RNAcentral.